Molecule: ribosomal RNA, 253 nt
Filed under: uncultured bacterium
Lineage: Bacteria
Description: partial 16S ribosomal RNA
Rfam family: Bacterial small subunit ribosomal RNA
Source: RNAcentral
UACAGAGGUCCCAAGCGUUGUUCGGAUUCACUGGGCGUAAAGGGUGCGUAGGUGGUGAGGUAAGUCGGAUGUGAAAGCUCGGAGCUCAACUCCGAAAUGGCAUUGGAAACUACCUUGCUCGAGGGUUGGAGGGGGGACUGGAAUGCUUGGUGUAGCAGUGAAACGCGUAGAUAUCAAGCGGAACACCAGUGGCGAAGGCGAGUCCCUGGACAACUCCUGACACUGAGGCACGAAAGCUAGGGGAGCAAACAGG